Molecule: long non-coding RNA, 531 nt
Filed under: Fukomys damarensis (Damara mole-rat)
Lineage: Eukaryota; Metazoa; Chordata; Mammalia; Rodentia; Bathyergidae
Description: lncRNA (ENSFDAG00000026552.1)
Source: RNAcentral
GGCCAUUUUAUUUCUCCUUCUUGUCCUUACUGCAGCCUAUCUUGGUUUGUAGGACCCGAACUCCCCUCUUUUACAGUAACUCCUAUCUUUCUCAAGUCUAAAACAUACUCCCAGUAGUACAGAAAUUCUAAGACUCCCAGAGGAUUUGUUAGUGGGAUCCUAAUGGCCAGUCUCAACCAGAUAUACAUGCUCUUCCUCUUCUCAUCCUCUCUCGUCCUUUCUUUCCUCUUAGAACCGCUUCAGAAAAGAUACCUUUAGAAUCUGGAUAAGGCUCACCCUGAUACACUGUUCAACCUGUGAAUAUGGGCCUCAGUCUGAGGACAGAUUUAACAGACAGAAGAAAAAGAGGAAAAACAAGCUCACCAGAUUUCAUCAAUAUUUCCCUGAGAGUGGAUCUUUGGUUCUGACCCCAGAACCAGAAGCUGGCGCAACUCCAAGGCCAUGGCACCAACCACCACAGUACCAUAGCUGCCAGCAGGAAAUAACGUCCUGAAAACAGAAUCUCAAGCAGAAAACAGAGUCUCAAGCCAC